RNAcentral lists this long non-coding RNA (1680 nucleotides) under Monodelphis domestica (gray short-tailed opossum). RNAcentral describes it as "lncRNA (ENSMODG00000036570.1)". Lineage: Eukaryota; Metazoa; Chordata; Mammalia; Didelphimorphia; Didelphidae. The record is from RNAcentral.
CCCCAUUCGGCUCUAGGGGGCACUGCUUCUCCGCCGCCGUAGCCUGUGGAGCAAAGUGAAAGUUCUUCGGUGCCUGGAUCCGACUGCCGUCCCAACCCCGGGUUGGGGACCUUGAAUUGGGGUGUCUUGUCUACACCAGCACUUCGGCCAGGCAGUGGGGCCCGGAUCCCACCAGGGGACGAGUGGCAGUCCAUUUCCGUGCUCCCAUCUCCGCCCGUAAGGAAGUGCGCGAAGAUGGGCAGGAGCCCUCUGCACCCCCGGGUUAGAGGUUGGGGCCACCAGGGGAUCUCGGGGCCCAGCUGAACUCCCCGGAAGCUCACCCCGGCGGCCGGCUGCGCCAGCUCCUCUCUGGUUCGGCUCUGUCUGGGGGGCUCCGAGCUGGAGCUGGAGGAGCGCCCUAGCGCAGGACUGAAGAAAGAAGGCGGGGGAUCCCCGGGGCGCAGAGCCAGCCUCAUCAGUGGGGGCUGUCAGAGCUGGAGUGGGCAGAGCCUAUAAAAGCCUGCCCGGAGCGCGAGAGGCGGUGGCAGCGGCGGCGGCAGAAGAGGCGCUCGCUUUGAGAAGCCGAGAGCGUCCUGCGCCCAAGACAAGUUCAUUCGGCUCCGGGAGAGACCCGGGGGCCAGGGGCGCCCAGCUACGUCUGGUACCUGCGCCUCUCUCGGGGAACCCCCUACCCCCAGCCCAGUGUUAAAUAGGGGAACCUCCCCUCUAGUCCCCAGGAGAGCGGUGGGCGGUGCCCACGACUACUUCUCCGCGCGGGAGGAGCCGAGCCAAGCCGGGGAGCUGAGUUUCCUGGAAGCGGUGCCUCGCACAUGGAGUGAGCGCGCCCGGCAGCCCUGCGCACCAUGGGGCGCUGCUCCCCAGCUGCUGGCCGGGCCCCUUAGCCUGAGCCCCUCAGCUCCGAACCUCGGGCCUCGCGGAUCUCGGCCACCUCCUCUGUCUCCGAGUCCUUUAGCCCGGCCGCAGGAGCCGGAGGAUCGGAGGGAGGCCACGGCAUGGAGCUACACGCGCUCUGUGGAUUCCUCUACUGGCUGCUGCUGCCGCUCUCCCUCCUAGCGGCCUGCCUGUUCCGGAUCAAUGGUUUGUCCUUCAUUUAUCUACUUUUUCUGCUGCUCUUGCCUUGGUUCCUGGGACCCACCAAACACAGCAUCAGAGGUAAGGAAAGUGUCGAGCCUCCAUUUGGAUUGGUUGGGAAACAGCUGGUCAGGCAUGGGGGCAGGGGACAUGUUUUGUAUUCCUUGACCCUAUGUGUUCAGGGUUCGAGGUCUCCUCUAAGAAACAGCCACAGAGUGUCAUGUUCCCUCCUUUGACUACUUCUCCUGGUUUCAAAAGCUGACAGUGCCAAUAGACAACAUGGACAAAGAAAAGUCAGUAGGUUAUUCCUAGUGACCAUUUUUUUUUUCCCAUGAAAGAAUCAUACCUUAGGAGUAAAACUGAAGAAGAAGAAAACAUUUUUAGCUGAGAGAAUCAAGGAAGGCUUCUCAGAGGAGGUGACACCUGGAAUGAUGAACCUUAAAGGGAGGAAAAUAUUCCAAGAAGUAGAGCUGAGGAGGGAGGGGAAUACUCUCCGGGGAAGGGGCAUACCCGGGGGCAGAAACUUUGUGUUGAAGCUUUUGGCCAAGGUGGUCCUGGGCAUAUUGACUCUGUGGACCUGUAAAUAAACCAGAACUACCAAGGUAGUCA